RNAcentral lists this ribosomal RNA (463 nucleotides) under uncultured bacterium. RNAcentral's name for it is "bacterial SSU rRNA". It matches the Rfam family "Bacterial small subunit ribosomal RNA", at positions 30 to 506 of the family's 1533-position model. The record is from RNAcentral.
UGAACGCUGGCGGCGUGUCUAAGGCAUGCAAGUCGAGCGAAGUGCUCCCGCAAGGGAGAUUACUAGCGGCAAACGGGUGAGUAACACAUUGGUAACCUACCUUGAAGACAGGGAUAGCUCUCCGAAAGGAGAAUUAAUACCUGAUGGAAAUGCGGGGGCGCAAGCCAUUCGCAUUUAAAGCCGCAAGGCGCUUCAAGAGGGGCCUAUGGCCUAUCAGCUAGUUGGCGGGGUAAAUGCCCACCAAGGCGAUGACGGGUAGCAGGCGUGAGAGCGUGGUCUGCCUCACUGGGACUGAGAUACUGCCCAGACACCUACGGGUGGCUGCAGUCAAGAAUCUUCCACAAUGGGGGAAACCCUGAUGGAGCGACGCCGCGUGCAGGAUGAAGGCCUUCGGGUCGUAAACUGCUUUUGUAGGGGACGAAUUAGUGACGGUACCCUAAGAAUAAGAGGUUGCUAACUCUGU